GACGAACGCUGGCGGCGUGCUUAACACAUGCAAGUCGAACGGAAAGGCCCUGCUUUUGUGGGGUGCUCGAGUGGCGAACGGGUGAGUAACACGUGAGUAACCUGCCCUUGACUUUGGGAUAACUUCAGGAAACUGGGGCUAAUACCGGAUAGGAGCUCCUGCUGCAUGGUGUGGGUUGGAAAGUUUCGGCGGUUGGGGAUGGACUCGCGGCUUAUCAGCUUGUUGGUGGGGUAGUGGCUUACCAAGGCUUUGACGGGUCGCCGGCCUGAGAGGGUGACCGGCCACAUUGGGACUGAGAGACGGCCCAGACUCGUACGGGAGGCAGCAGUGGGGAAUAUUGCACAAUGGGCGGAAGCCUGAUGCAGCAACGCCGCGUGCGGGAUGACGGCCUUCGGGUUGUAAACCGCUUUCGCCUGUGACGAAGCGUGAGUGACGGUAAUGGGUAAAGAAGCACCGGCUAACUACGUG
This 468-nucleotide ribosomal RNA is filed under the name uncultured bacterium. Its description in RNAcentral is "partial 16S ribosomal RNA". It matches the Rfam family "Bacterial small subunit ribosomal RNA", at positions 28 to 507 of the family's 1533-position model. The record is from RNAcentral.